This 832-nucleotide ribosomal RNA is filed under the name Alteromonas sp. HM-BE03. RNAcentral's name for it is "bacterial SSU rRNA". It matches the Rfam family "Bacterial small subunit ribosomal RNA", at positions 45 to 874 of the family's 1533-position model. Lineage: Bacteria; Pseudomonadati; Pseudomonadota; Gammaproteobacteria; Alteromonadales; Alteromonadaceae. The record is from RNAcentral.
GGCCUAACACAUGCAAGUCGAACGGUAACAUUUCUAGCUUGCUAUAAGAUGACGAGUGGCGGACGGGUGAGUAAUGCUUGGGAACUUGCCUUUGCGAGGGGGAUAACAGUUGGAAACGACUGCUAAUACCGCAUAAUGUCUUCGGACCAAACGGGGCUUAGGCUCCGGCGCAAAGAGAGGCCCAAGUGAGAUUAGCUAGUUGGUAAGGUAAUGGCUUACCAAGGCGACGAUCUCUAGCUGUUCUGAGAGGAAGAUCAGCCACACUGGGACUGAGACACGGCCCAGACUCCUACGGGAGGCAGCAGUGGGGAAUAUUGCACAAUGGGGGAAACCCUGAUGCAGCCAUGCCGCGUGUGUGAAGAAGGCCUUCGGGUUGUAAAGCACUUUCAGUUGUGAGGAAAAGUUAGUAGUUAAUACCUGCUAGCCGUGACGUUAACAACAGAAGAAGCACCGGCUAACUCCGUGCCAGCAGCCGCGGUAAUACGGAGGGUGCGAGCGUUAAUCGGAAUUACUGGGCGUAAAGCGCACGCAGGCGGUUUGUUAAGCUAGAUGUGAAAGCCCCGGGCUCAACCUGGGAUGGUCAUUUAGAACUGGCAGACUAGAGUCUUGGAGAGGGGAGUGGAAUUCCAGGUGUAGCGGUGAAAUGCGUAGAUAUCUGGAGGAACAUCAGUGGCGAAGGCGACUCCCUGGCCAAAGACUGACGCUCAUGUGCGAAAGUGUGGGUAGCGAACAGGAUUAGAUACCCUGGUAGUCCACACCGUAAACGCUGUCUACUAGCUGUGUGUGUCUUUAAGACGUGCGUAGCGAAGCUAACGCGCUAAGUAGACCGCCU